UCCGGUGUAGCUCAACGGUAGAGCAGCUCCCCGUUAAGGAGACGGUUGCAGGUUCGAAUCCCGCCGCCGGAG
RNAcentral lists this transfer RNA (72 nucleotides) under Candidatus Gottesmanbacteria bacterium. RNAcentral's name for it is "tRNA-Asn". It matches the Rfam family "tRNA". Rfam says of the family: Transfer RNA (tRNA) molecules are approximately 80 nucleotides in length. Their secondary structure includes four short double-helical elements and three loops (D, anti-codon, and T loops). Lineage: Bacteria; Candidatus Gottesmaniibacteriota. The record is from RNAcentral.